AAAACCCUAAUUCUAUCAAACACAAAAACUCUCAUCUAGGUAUCUUUAUCAUCUUCAACAUGCUUUCAGAUCUUGAAGAUCCAUCCAAUUCUCCUUUUCCUUCGUUUAUCCCUUUUCAUUAUCAUCGAUUUUCUUUUGUCUUCCCCUUUCAUAAUCCUCUGUAAACCCUAGAGGAGUCUACACCAGUUCUUCGAGGUUACUGAUUCAAUCUGAUGGAAUGAUGGAUCUUUAUUCAGGCAUUUGGAGAGAGGGAAAUGGUCGAUAUAUGACAAUAAGAGAGAGGGAGUGAGUGUUACAGAUAGAGACGGUGGUGGCUGUUGUUGCGACACCACUCGCCACCGGCGACGAGGAUGACCAUCGGUGGUCAAGGGUUUAGAAUAGCGGUCUCGCUUAUGACCACAGUGGCCUCCGGGGACGAGGAUGACCACAGUGGCCUUCGUUCAUUUUUAGUUCGUAUUUUUGGUGGGUUUAUGGCUUGGGGACUGAUCUAGCAAAAUUCUAUUCGUAUUUUUAGGGUUUUGAGUUUACAUGAUUAUAUUUGUCGAAGUAAAGAAUUAGUGACUAAAAGGUCCGUUGUGUUUUCUUUCUGGUGAAUGUAGAGUCUUCGUAAUUGACAGACGACCAAAUCGAUGGAAUUAGUUAUCCGGAGGUUAUGUUCUUGCUUCCAGAAUGCUUAAUAGUACUGCGGGUUUGUGGAUGAUUUCUGUUCAUUUGUUCAUUUUGGAUUUGAACAUCUCAUAACGGUUUCUUGCUGGAAGUAUAGUAUAUUGUGGAAGUCGACUCUCUUCAAUACUCUCACCAAGUUAUCAAUACCUGCUGGGAACUUUCCAUUUUGUAUAAUUGAACCUAAUGAAGCGCGUGUCAACAUUCCUGAUGAGUGGUUUGAAUGGCUCUGUCAACUGUUCAAGCCAAAGAGUGAGGUUUCUGCAUUUUUAGAGAUACAUGACAUUGCUGGGUUGGUGAAAGGUGCUCAUGAAGGACAAGGGCUUGGAAACAAUUUCUUAUCACACAUUCGUGCCGUUGAUGGCAUAUUCCAUGUUCUAUGUAAGAUUGCAUUUAUAUAAUCUUUCUGAAAUAGUUAUGUUAGGUCAUCUGAAAAUUGUUUGUCAUACAUAUAAUCAAAGUGCUACAGGUUCAUACAUAUCAUUGAUUUCCUCUAAUUUUAGUUAUAUGCUUUCAAAAGUUAGUUGUUCACGGGUGGUUGUUUAGAUCUUAUGAUCGGGUUUAACGUAGAUGGCAGUAUAUUAAUUAAAUUUGCUUUCCCAUUUUGUUAUACCCAACUGAUUGUUUCAAAGCAUGAACAAGUGUUGUGAUUAGGUACUACAAUCACAAUUUUGAGGACCAUUAUCACAGCUACAUGGCUGGUUCUGUUUUGAUGCUAAUUUUACCCAUGUCUGUAGAGCUUUAGAAAGGGCAUUUACAAAACCUUUAGUAGCUCUAAAGAUUCUAUACAUUGGAAUACACUUGGGAUGACUGUUGACCCAUUUGGCCCGUUAAGAGAUAAUGCAAAGUUCCAUGAGAUAUAUUCUGGUUCUUGGAAUGACGUCUGAUGGCGGGCAUAUGCCUUUUAGAAACUCUCUUGAUGGAAAUUUAGAUGUGGAGCCUUUGUUAUGCACAUAUUAUUGGCCCAUAGCAUGGCAGCAGCUCAAAGUGGGUACUUUCUGUAACGGGUCAGUCAGGUUGACCCUUAAAAAAUUUGUUUUCUUUAUAUUGUUUCUGAUAAUUAGCGCGUACAAUCAAUAAUAUGGUUUCUAGAUGUGGCAGAAUGGGUCGGACUGCAGGUCAACGUGAGUGCUUUUUGGUACGGGUCAGUCAAGUUGACCUUAAAACAAUUUGUGAUCUAUAUAUUGUUACAGAUAGUUAAUGUGUACAUGAGUAUAUCCAACAAUACGGGUUCUAGAUGUAGCAAAAUGGGUCCUUUUGGUAUGGGUAGGUCAGGUUGACCCUUAAAACAAUUAUUGUUCUAUAUUAUUGUUGCAGAUAGUAAACGUGUACAAUCAAUACUAUGGUUUUUAGUUGUGGCAAGAUGGGUGGUUGGGCAGCAGGUCAAAGUGCGUACUUUUUUGUACAGCUGCAUUUCGGCCGCAUGCUCAUAGCCGGAACGAGGUGAGAUUGUUAAACAGAUCGGUGAUGCAUUGAGAUCCAAGCUCGAGUACCUUGGUCGGCUUUUAUCACUUGAGAUGGGAAAAAUUCUUCCAGAAGGAAUUGGGGAAGUUCAAGAAGUUAUUGACAUGUGCGACUUUGCAGUGGGGUUAAGCGGACAACUAAAUGGAUAAGUCAUACCCUCUAAACGUCUGUUGAAUAUGGACAAAGAUUAAAGUUGCAUCUUGAUUAUUCGAGAAUGCCUAUAAAAAAAAAGACACAUCACAUGGCAGCAGAUUAUUCGAGAAUGCCUAUAAAAAAAAAGACACAUCACAUGGCAGCAGAGCCAACAGUGGUGGUGGUUUGGAGUGUGUUCAUGCAUAAUUUUUGCUACAAGAUCACCUCAUGGCCCUUGCCCUAUUGCUCUUACGGUUGCUAAAGUACUACGUCAAUGCCACUAUAUUUUGAGUUGGAAGACUGUGAACGGAAAAUGAGGAGCUGAAUCAGAAUGGAGAAGAAAUUAAAUCAAUAGAUUUAUAUUGAAAAGUUUUUUCAUUACAAAGUUCAUAUCAAUGUUAGUAGAUAUUAUAUGUUUGUGUUAAGCCACCCGUGAAACUCGCGGGAUCUUAGACUAUAUGAAUUUAAAUAAGAAUUUAGAUAUUGAAGUUUAUAUAAACUUGAUGUCAAUCAAAAGAUGAAAACAGUGACCUUUCGUUGAUCUAUUAAAGGUUCGCUGGUAUGUAACAGAUUUUUGGUGAAGGAAGUGAUCACUCUGUUCGGUUUUGGGUUUGUACCGGUUAGGGUCAUAUAUUGUCUGUUUGAGACCUGUUUUAACCCUUAGACGUGAAGCCUAAGUUUGGAAAGGCCUAGAAAAAAAAUGAUGAUC
Molecule: long non-coding RNA, 2968 nt
Filed under: Helianthus annuus (common sunflower)
Lineage: Eukaryota; Viridiplantae; Streptophyta; Magnoliopsida; Asterales; Asteraceae
Source: RNAcentral